GCCCCACUGGCGCAAUGGUAGCGCGCUAGACUUCUAUUAGUAGAAAGGUACAUCUGGAGGCUGCGGGUUCGAGCCCCGCGUGGGGUU
Non-coding RNA from Diaporthe citri, 87 nucleotides. Lineage: Eukaryota; Fungi; Ascomycota; Sordariomycetes; Diaporthales; Diaporthaceae. The record is from the annotation of a RefSeq genome assembly.